Molecule: ribosomal RNA, 289 nt
Filed under: uncultured bacterium
Lineage: Bacteria
Description: partial 16S ribosomal RNA
Rfam family: Bacterial small subunit ribosomal RNA
Source: RNAcentral
GGAUUAGAUACCCUGGUAGUCCACGCUGUAAACGAUGAUCACUCGAUGCAUGCGAUAAACUGUAUGUGUCCAAGCGAAAGCGUUAAGUGAUCCACCUGGGGAGUACGAUCGCAAGGUUGAAACUCAAAGGAAUUGACGGGGGCCCGCACAAGCGGUGGAGCAUGUGGUUUAAUUCGAUGAUACGCGAGGAACCUUACCUGGGCUUAAAUGUACGAUGAUCGUCUGGGAAACCAGUCUUCCCUUCGGGGCAUCAUACAAGGUGCUGCAUGGCUGUCGUCAGCUCGUGUCG